GGGAGGGAGACACCGUGACUCAGUCACUCAGCUGAGUCACCGUCCUGGCAGCAGCAAUUUGGGUGGUGCCACUGUCACCACCCUCCUCCCUCAGAGCCCUGCCUGGACUCACUCCCUGCCUGCAGGAGACUCUUCUCAUCAGGGACUGAGAGCAAUUUAAGUUCCCGCACUAAGAAUGUGAAAAGAAGCAUCAGCAGAAUGUGUGUGCCAUUUGGCAUUUGGACCCAACCACCUGAAGAUAAUUUUUCUGCAUCUGAGGGAUGAUGUGAAAUGUUUAUCCUGCUGGAGAGCACAGCCCGUGGGACACUUAGAAAGUCUUGCUGGGGCUCAGGGCUGCCAGAUCUGACUCCAGGCACCCUGCCUGGUGUCCUUGUCACCAGGGACAGGGCUGGGAUGGGAGCUCCACUCCAUCCUGAGAGCCAUGUCCCCAUGGCAGGGUCAAACUGGGCAGUACCCGUGGCACAGUCAACUCAUUCCAGCUCUGGAUUCCCACCAGGCACAGGGGGUUUGGAAAUUUCUGCAGGGCACUCAGCAGGAGGGGGAGACGUGCCCUUGUUGAUUGUCACCAAGAUCAUCAAUUUAAGCCAGAUUAGGAUCAGGCUUGGGACAACCACUUGGAAAGCAGGACCCUUGUCAAGGAACUGAAGGAUUUGGCAGGCCCAGCAGUACACCGCAUUUUUGGAGAGUGUGGGGCGAGUUCUGCACUGAUUUACUGCACUGCAGAAUGUGGAAUCCAUUGGUGUUAGUCAGGUGAGACAAGAUCACAGAACUUAGUGUGUUCU
This 782-nucleotide long non-coding RNA is filed under the name Taeniopygia guttata (zebra finch). RNAcentral's name for it is "lncRNA (ENSTGUG00000027026.1)". Lineage: Eukaryota; Metazoa; Chordata; Aves; Passeriformes; Estrildidae. The record is from RNAcentral.